CCUGGUUAGCUCAGUUGGUAGAGCGCUCCACUGGAAAUUUAGAGUUGCCUAUUUCGAUACUAGGGCACAGGC
This 72-nucleotide transfer RNA is filed under the name Ixodes scapularis (black-legged tick). Its description in RNAcentral is "tRNA-Ser". The record is from RNAcentral. Lineage: Eukaryota; Metazoa; Arthropoda; Arachnida; Ixodida; Ixodidae.